Molecule: transfer RNA, 77 nt
Filed under: Thermococci archaeon
Lineage: Archaea; Methanobacteriati; Methanobacteriota; Thermococci
Also listed under: 1 other name
Description: tRNA-Thr
Rfam family: tRNA
About the family: Transfer RNA (tRNA) molecules are approximately 80 nucleotides in length. Their secondary structure includes four short double-helical elements and three loops (D, anti-codon, and T loops).
Source: RNAcentral
GCCCCGGUAGCUCAGCCCGGUAGAGCGGGUGACUUGUAAUCACCAGGUCGCGGGUUCGAAUCCCGCCCGGGGCUCCA